CCUACGGGAGGCAGCAGUAGGGAAUAUUGCUCAAUGGGGGAAACCCUGAAGCAGCAACGCCGCGUGGAGGAUGAAGGUUUUCGGAUUGUAAACUCCUUUUGUUAGAGAAGAUAAUGACGGUAUCUAACGAAUAAGCACCGGCUAACUACGUGCCAUCAGCCGCGGUAAUACGGAGGGUGCAAGCGUUACUCGGAAUCACUGGGCGUAAAGAGCGCGUAGGCGGGAUAGCAAGUCAGAUGUGAAAUCCUAUGGCUUAACCAUAGAACUGCAUUUGAAACUGUUAUUCUAGAGUAUGGGAGAGGUAGGUGGAAUUCUUGGUGUAGGGGUAAAAUCCGUAGAGAUCAAGCGGAAUACUCAUUGCGAAGGCGACCUGCUAGCACAUAACUGACGCUGAUGCGCGAAAGCGUGGGGAGCGAACAGGAUUAGAUACCCCGGUAGUC
RNAcentral lists this ribosomal RNA (440 nucleotides) under uncultured bacterium. Its description in RNAcentral is "partial 16S ribosomal RNA". It matches the Rfam family "Bacterial small subunit ribosomal RNA", at positions 338 to 795 of the family's 1533-position model. The record is from RNAcentral.